RNAcentral lists this ribosomal RNA (467 nucleotides) under uncultured bacterium. RNAcentral's name for it is "partial 16S ribosomal RNA". It matches the Rfam family "Bacterial small subunit ribosomal RNA", at positions 29 to 507 of the family's 1533-position model. The record is from RNAcentral.
ACGAACGCUGGCGGCGUGCUUCACACAUGCAAGUCGAACGGAAAGGCCCUGCUUUUGUGGGGUGCUCGAGUGGCGAACGGGUGAGUAACACGUGAGUAACCUGCCCUUGACUUUGGGAUAACUUCAGGAAACUGGGGCUAAUACCGGAUAGGAGCUCCUGCUGCAUGGUGGGGGUUGGAAAGUUUCGGCGGUUGGGGAUGGACUCGCGGCUUAUCAGCUUGUUGGUGGGGUAGUGGCUUACCAAGGCUUUGACGGGUAGCCGGCCUGAGAGGGUGACCGGCCACAUUGGGACUGAGAUACGGCCCAGUCUCCUACGGGAGGCAGCAGUGGGGAAUAUUGCACAAUGGGCGGAAGCCUGAUGCAGCAACGCCGCGUGCGGGAUGACGGCCUUCGGGUUGUAAACCGCUUUCGCCUGUGACGAAGCGUGAGUGACGGUAAUGGGUAAAGAAGCACCGGCUAACUACGUG